RNAcentral lists this unclassified non-coding RNA (414 nucleotides) under Hevea brasiliensis (rubber tree). The record is from RNAcentral. Lineage: Eukaryota; Viridiplantae; Streptophyta; Magnoliopsida; Malpighiales; Euphorbiaceae.
GCAAGUUAUAGCAUAUUUAUUUCUCAUUCGAUGUGACAUGAAGUAAUUCUGUUAUUAAAUAGGUUAGGAAUAUGCAAUAGGGUUUGUUAUCUCAUCUCUUUUGGAUGUGUAUAUUUCAUUUAUUUCCCAAUAAUAGCUUUGCUUGCAGAGGGAAAGAACAAAGUUGUUGUCAAAUUCGAAGUAUUUAGUCUCAACUGAAUGCAAGUGAAGUUUGUGUCACUUCUAUGCAACAUCAAACUUGCAUGUUAUCACUUUUAGUGCCUCAAGUCUCGAAUUGCUGCUUUUACAUUGCCAAUACUCGUUUUACUUUCCUUAGCAUUUGUGAUUGAUAAAUUGCUUAAUUGGUAAAAGUGCACUCUUUAUUGUUUAACUUUUAUUUCAAUCUGAUUUUGAUUGAGAUAGGUGACAACCAGC